RNAcentral lists this unclassified non-coding RNA (336 nucleotides) under soil metagenome. RNAcentral's name for it is "partial contains 5.8S ribosomal RNA, internal transcribed spacer 2, and large subunit ribosomal RNA". The stretch from base 1 to 120 matches the Rfam family "5.8S ribosomal RNA", at positions 35 to 154 of the family's 154-position model. The record is from RNAcentral.
GAUGAAGAACGUAGCGAAAUGCGAUAAGUAAUGUGAAUUGCAGAAUUCAGUGAAUCAUCGAAUCUUUGAACGCACAUUGCGCCCGCCAGUAUUCAGGCGGGCAUGCCUGUUCGAGCGUCAUUUCAACCAUCAAGCCCCCGGCUUGUGUUGGGGACCUGCGGCUGCCGCAGGCCCUGAAAAGCAGUGGCGGGCUCGCUGUCACACCGAGCGUAGUAGCAUACAUCUCGCUCUGGGCGUGCUGCGGGUUCCGGCCGUUAAACCACCUUCAUAACCCAAGGUUGACCUCGGAUCAGGUAGGAAGACCCGCUGAACUUAAGCAUAUCAAUAAGCGGAGGA